UAGGGAAUCUUCGGCAGUGGGGGCAACCCUGACCGAGCAACGCCGCGUGAGUGAAGAAGGUUUUCGGAUCGUAAAGCUCUGUUGUAAGAGAAGAACGUGUGUGAGAGUGGAAAGUUCACACAGUGACGGUAACUUACCAGAAAGGGACGGCUAACUACGUGCCAGCAGC
RNAcentral lists this ribosomal RNA (169 nucleotides) under uncultured bacterium. RNAcentral's name for it is "partial 16S rRNA". It matches the Rfam family "Bacterial small subunit ribosomal RNA", at positions 355 to 515 of the family's 1533-position model. The record is from RNAcentral.